UACGAAGGGGGCUAGCGUUGCUCGGAAUUACUGGGCGUAAAGGGAGCGUAGGCGGACAGUUUAGUCAGAGGGGAAAGCCCAGGGCUCAACCUUGGAAUUGCCUUUGAUACUGACUGUCUUGAGUUUGGGAGAGGUGUGUGGAACUCCGAGUGUAGAGGUGAAAUUCGUAGAUAUUCGGAAGAACACCAGUGGCGAAGGCGACACACUGGCCCAAUACUGACGCUGAGGCUCGAAAGCGUGGGGAGCAAACAGG
RNAcentral lists this ribosomal RNA (253 nucleotides) under uncultured bacterium. Its description in RNAcentral is "partial 16S ribosomal RNA". It matches the Rfam family "Bacterial small subunit ribosomal RNA", at positions 524 to 776 of the family's 1533-position model. The record is from RNAcentral.